CAGUAGCCACGGUAAUACGAAGGGUGCAAGCGUUAAUCGGAAUUACUGGGCGUAAAGCGUGCGUAGGUGGUGGUUUAAGUCCGUUGUGAAAGCCCUGGGCUCAACCUGGGAAUUGCAGUGGAUACUGGAACACUAGAGUGUGGUAGAGGAUAGUGGAAUUUCCGGUGUAGCAGUGAAAUGCGUAGAGAUCGGAAGGAACAUCUGUGGCGAAGGCGACUAUCUGGGCCAACACUGACACUGAGGCACGAAAGCGUGGGGAGCAAACAGGAUUAGAUACCCCCGUAGUCCCUGUCUCUUAUAC
RNAcentral lists this ribosomal RNA (301 nucleotides) under uncultured bacterium. RNAcentral's name for it is "partial 16S ribosomal RNA". It matches the Rfam family "Bacterial small subunit ribosomal RNA", at positions 509 to 807 of the family's 1533-position model. The record is from RNAcentral.